GGCGGGGCGGGCGCUGUCGCCGCCUCACUCUCCCCGGCGCCUCAGGGCGAGCUGCGGCCGCACCCGCCUCGCGCUCCCCGCCCGAGAAGCGGCCCCGCGUGCCGGCCCCGGCCCUCGCUCGCACCAGCGUCCGUUUAGUGCUUAGGGAAAAAAGAGAAACUCGCCCAGAUGAAGUUCUGGGCGGAAAAUCCUGGCGGCCAACCUGGCGAGCCGCCGCGUUGUGCUCCUCGCCCUCCAGCCAGGCAGGGAGGUGCCAGCCCGGCCCCACGGGGAAGCCGAGCUCCCCGGGACAAAGGGCUCUGGGGAGUGCUAGAGCUCCCACGACGAGGAAAGUUUUCCCCAACAGGUGAAACGGCACUUGUUACUCUCGAACAAGCAGGCACUCCUCCACUGGUUUCAACUGCUGCAGAGCUGAGUUCUUCCUUAAGUUUGUCGAGAACCUGGAUUUUCAGCAUCGCAUUAGCAGCCCUCGCUAUCCUCAGAGCAAUGGAGAAGCUGAGAGAGCACUACAGACCCUGACACAGCGUCCACUUAAAUUCAGAGAUACCUUUCUGGCACUCCUAACGUAUCAAUCUACACCACUGGUUCUCUCUGGCUGAACUGCUCAUGGGAUGAUGGUUUCGGACACCAUUACCUAUGUCUACUGAGAGCAGCAGCGAGGGCUCGUGGAGGUCCCUUCCAGCCCUGCUUCUCUAGAGGCAGUGGUGACACAUAGGGGGUGCACGAGGGUACACGUGCACCCGUUGCGAGCGCUGGUGCACCCCCUUGACAGGCCGUGUUCCCCAGUUAGGUGAUAGGCAGGAGGAGCAGGUGUCAGUACCAGUGCGAAUGCCAGCCAGAGAGUGGGAGCACUGCAGCCACUUCUGGGAGCACCGUGGCCACUUCCAGGAGUGGGGCCACAGCCACUUUCCAAUCAGCGCAAUCGGCCGCGAGGGGACCCUCCCCCUGGUCGGUAAGAUUGGCCGCGGGGGGGUAACCCCACGCCCAGUCAACAAGAUUGUGAUGUUGACCCCUCCACCCCGUGACUAACUAGUUGCCCCCCUUGAAUAAGGCAACGCCAGUUGCCCAUGUCCAGAGGUCAUCUAGUCCAGUGUUUCUCAACCAGUGGGACAUGUCCCACAGGUGGGACAGGAAGGUUACAUAGGUGGGACUUCAACUCAUUGCCUGAUUGGAAAAAAUCCAGGUCGUUUGCACUUCAAAUAAAUGAAUCAACAUAUAUCUUGAA
Long non-coding RNA from Alligator mississippiensis (American alligator), 1225 nucleotides. RefSeq lists it as uncharacterized. The transcript is spliced from 2 exons. NCBI's taxonomy places the organism in Eukaryota, Metazoa, Chordata, Crocodylia, Alligatoridae. The record is from RefSeq and is a predicted model, not a curated record.